This 793-nucleotide small RNA is filed under the name uncultured Phaeosphaeria. Its description in RNAcentral is "eukaryotic LSU rRNA". The stretch from base 519 to 793 matches the Rfam family "Eukaryotic large subunit ribosomal RNA", at positions 1 to 281 of the family's 3401-position model. The record is from RNAcentral. Lineage: Eukaryota; Fungi; Ascomycota; Dothideomycetes; Pleosporales; Phaeosphaeriaceae.
CUUGGUCAUUUAGAGGAAGUAAAAGUCGUAACAAGGUUUCCGUAGGUGAACCUGCGGAAGGAUCAUUAUCAAAACAGCGGGCUUCGGCCCUUGCUGCACCCUUGUCUUUUACGCACCGUAUCGUUUCCUCGGCGGGCUUGCCUGCCGGUUGGACACCAUAAAACCUUUUUGUAGUUGCAAUCAGCGUCAGAAAAAUCAUAAUUAUUACAACUUUCAACAACGGAUCUCUUGGUUCUGGCAUCGAUGAAGAACGCAGCGAAAUGCGAAAAGUAGUGUGAAUUGCAGAAUUCAGUGAAUCAUCGAAUCUUUGAACGCACAUUGCGCCCCUUGGUAUUCCAUGGGGCAUGCCUGUUCGAGCGUCAUUUUGUACCCUCAAGCACUGCUUGGUGUUGGGCGUUUGUCCUGCAGAGGACUCGCCUGAAAGCGAUUGGCGGCCAACGUAGUCGUGGCAGAGCGCAGCACAAUCUUGCGUCUCUCCCCUCUGCGUCGGCGUCCAUGAAGCCUACAAUCUCAACGUUUGACCUCGGAUCAGGUAGGGAUACCCGCUGAACUUAAGCAUAUCAAUAAGCGGAGGAAAAGAAACCAACAGGGAUUGCCCUAGUAACGGCGGGUGAAGCGGCAACAGCUCAAAUUUGAAAUCUGGCUUCGGCCCGAGUUGUAAUUUGCAGAGGAAGCUUUAGGCGCGGCACCUUCUGAGUCCCCUGGAACGGGGCGCCAUAGAGGGUGAGAGCCCCGUAUAGUUGGAUGCCUAGCCUGUGUAAAGCUCCUUCGACGAGUCGAGUUGUUUGGGAAU